RNAcentral lists this ribosomal RNA (482 nucleotides) under uncultured bacterium. RNAcentral's name for it is "partial 16S ribosomal RNA". It matches the Rfam family "Bacterial small subunit ribosomal RNA", at positions 28 to 523 of the family's 1533-position model. The record is from RNAcentral.
AGUGAACGUUGGCGGCGUGGAUUAGGCAUGCAAGUCGAGCGAGAACCGUAGCAAUACGGGGACAGCGGCGAAAGGGACAGUAAUGUGUAGGUACCUACCCCGAGGUCUGGGAUAGCUGCGGGAAACUGCAGGUAAUACCGGAUAAUGUCUUCGGACCAAAGGUGUGAUUCCACCUUGGGAGGGGCCUGCAUCCUAUUAGCUUGUUGGCGGGGUAACGGCCCACCAAGGCGACGAUGGGUAGCGGGUGUGAGAGCACGACCCGCGUCAUUGGGACUGAGACACGGCCCAGACACCUACGGGUGGCUGCAGUCGAGGAUCUUCGGCAAUGGGCGCAAGCCUAACCGAGCGACGCCGCGUGCGGGAUGAAGGCCUUCGGGUUGUAAACCGCUGUCGUAGGGGAGGAAAUGCAGGUGGGUUCUCCCUCCUGUUUGACCUAUCCUAGGAGGAAGUACGGGCUAAGUUCGUGCCAGCCGCCGCCGUAA